CUCCCCCCCUCCGGGAGGUGGGGGCUGGGAGCCAUCCUCGUCUCCGCCCCCUCCCCACCGCGCACUGAGAGAUGAACUGGCAAGAGGUCUGUUUGCCUGGACCCAUCAACAGCUGGGAGACUAAUCAACCACACUGAAAAUGUUUCCGGGAUUGUGGGGGAGGGGUUGUAAUGUAGAUGUUUGAAACAAAUGUGUAUAAAUAAAUGAAUUGUUGUUAACUUA
Long non-coding RNA from Neogale vison (American mink), 222 nucleotides. RefSeq lists it as uncharacterized. The record is from RefSeq and is a predicted model, not a curated record. The transcript has 2 exons. Lineage: Eukaryota; Metazoa; Chordata; Mammalia; Carnivora; Mustelidae.